This 900-nucleotide ribosomal RNA is filed under the name Alternaria alternata. RNAcentral's name for it is "partial large subunit ribosomal RNA". It matches the Rfam family "Eukaryotic large subunit ribosomal RNA", at positions 22 to 939 of the family's 3401-position model. The record is from RNAcentral. Lineage: Eukaryota; Fungi; Ascomycota; Dothideomycetes; Pleosporales; Pleosporaceae.
UACCCGCUGGAAAUUAAGCAUAUCAAUAAGCGGAGGAAAAGAAACCAACAGGGAUUGCCCUAGUAACGGCGAGUGAAGCGGCAACAGCUCAAAUUUGAAAUCUGGCUCUUUUAGAGUCCGAGUUGUAAUUUGCAGAGGGCGCUUUGGCUUUGGCAGCGGUCCAAGUUCCUUGGAACAGGACGUCACAGAGGGUGAGAAUCCCGUACGUGGUCGCUGGCUAUUGCCGUGUAAAGCCCCUUCGACGAGUCGAGUUGUUUGGGAAUGCAGCUCUAAAUGGGAGGUACAUUUCUUCUAAAGCUAAAUAUUGGCCAGAGACCGAUAGCGCACAAGUAGAGUGAUCGAAAGAUGAAAAGCACUUUGGAAAGAGAGUCAAACAGCACGUGAAAUUGUUGAAAGGGAAGCGCUUGCAGCCAGACUUGCUUACAGUUGCUCAUCCGGGUUUUUACCCGGUGCACUCUUCUGUAGGCAGGCCAGCAUCAGUUUGGGCGGUAGGAUAAAGGUCUCUGUCACGUACCUCCUUUCGGGGAGGCCUUAUAGGGGAGACGACAUACUACCAGCCUGGACUGAGGUCCGCGCAUCUGCUAGGAUGCUGGCGUAAUGGCUGUAAGCGGCCCGUCUUGAAACACGGACCAAGGAGUCUAACAUCUAUGCGAGUGUUUGGGUGUCAAGCCCGAGCGCGUAAUGAAAGUGAACGGAGGUGGGAACCCGCAAGGGUGCACCAUCGACCGAUCCUGAUGUCUUCGGAAGGAUUUGAGUAAGAGCAUGGCUGUUGGGACCCGAAAGAUGGUGAACUAUGCUUGAAUAGGGUGAAGCCAGAGGAAACUCUGGUGGAGGCUCGCAGCGGUUCUGACGUGCAAAUCGAUCGUCAAAUUUGGGCAUAGGGGCGAAAGACUAAUCGAA